CAAAGUUAAACACUUGGGGACGGACUCGCCUUUCGGGGCUCGAGGCCUGACUCCAUGUUGUAACAAACUUUCAACCACUUGUGAAUUUGUAACAAAUUUUCUCACCAAUUGACUGUUAACCGAAGUCUGAUUCAAAUUGUAUUGGUGUUAUAGACACUUAGUAAAAUAUGAAA
RNAcentral lists this unclassified non-coding RNA (173 nucleotides) under soil metagenome. Its description in RNAcentral is "partial internal transcribed spacer 1". The record is from RNAcentral.